AGAGUUUGAUCCUGGCUCAGAACGAACGUUGGCGGCGUGGAUUAGGCAUGCAAGUCGCACGAAUCCCAGCAAUGGGGGAAGUGGCGUAAGGGGCAGUAAGGCAUGGGUACCUACCCGGGGGUUGAGCAUAGCCUGUAGAGAUACAGGGUAAUUCUCGAUGAUGUCGCAAGACCAAAGCUCCGGUGCCCUCGGAGGAGCCCAUGUGGUAUUAGCUAGUUGGUGAGGUAACGGCUCACCAAGGCGAAGAUGCCUAGCGGGUGUGAGAGCACGACCCGCGCCACUGGCACUGAGACACUGGCCAGACACCUACGGGUGGCUGCAGUCGAGGAUCUUCGGCAAUGGGGGAAACCCUGACCGAGCGACGCCGCGUGGGCGACGAAGGCCUUCGGGUUGUAAAGCCCUGUCGAGGGGGAGAAAAGAGCAAUCUUGAUCUAUCCCUGGAGGAAGCACGGGCUAAGUUCGUGCCAGCAGCCGCGGUAAGACGAACCGUGCGAACGUUGUUCGGAAUCACUGGGCUUAAAGGGCGCGUAGGCGGGCUGCCAAGUCCGGGGUGAAAUCCUCCAGCUUAACUGGAGAACUGCCCCGGAUACUGGAAGUCUCGAGGGAGGUAGGGGCGUACGGAACUGGUGGUGGAGCGGUGAAAUGCGUUGAUAUCACUAGGAACUCCGGUGGCGAAGGCGGUACGCUGGACCUUUUCUGACGCUGAGGCGCGAAAGCCAGGGGAGCAAACGGGAUUAGAUACCCCGGUAGUCCUGGCCCUAAACGUUGAGAACUAGGUAGUAGACUUGACAUGGGUUUACUGCCGAAGCAAAAGUGCUAAGUUCUCCGCCUGGGGAGUAUGGUCGCAAGGCUGAAACUCAAAGGAAUUGACGGGGGCUCACACAAGCGGUGGAGCAUGUGGCUUAAUUCGAGGCUACGCGAAGAACCUUAUCCUGGGCUUGACAUGUGCGAAAGCGCUCGGAAGUAGCUUACGGAAACGUGGAGCGAACGGUAUCCAAUCCGGAACCGAGCACAGGUGCUGCAUGGCUGUCGUCAGCUCGUGUCGUGAGAUGUCGGGUUAAGUCCCAUAACGAGCGCAACCCUUGUCCUUAGUUGCCAGCGGUUCGGCCGGGAACUCUAAGGAGACUGCCGGUGAUAAACCGGAGGAAGGUGGGGACGACGUCAAGUCAUCAUGGCCCUUAUGGGCAGGGCUACACACGUGCUACAAUGGCCAGUACAGAUGGUUGCCAACCCGCGAGGGGGAGCUAAUCCUGCAAAGCUGGUCGUAGUCCGGAUCGCAGUCUGCAACUCGACUGCGUGAAGUCGGAAUCGCUAGUAAUCGCGAAUCAGCAUGUCGCGGUGAAUACGUUCCCGGGCCUUGUACACACCGCCCGUCACACCAUGGGAGUGGGCUGCACCAGAAGUAGGUUGCUUAACCCGUGAGGGAGGGCGCUUACCACGGUGUGGUUCAUGACUGGGGUGAAGUCGUAACAAGGUAACC
This 1480-nucleotide ribosomal RNA is filed under the name uncultured bacterium. RNAcentral describes it as "partial 16S ribosomal RNA". It matches the Rfam family "Bacterial small subunit ribosomal RNA". The record is from RNAcentral.